GCUAGGAUGAACGCUGGCGGCGUGCCUAACACAUGCAAGUCGAACGGGGUAUGGGAAAUUUCGGAUGGACCAUGCUUAGUGGCGGACGGGUGAGUAACGCGUGGACAACCUGCCCCUCGCUGGGGGAUAGCAGCUGGAAACGGCUGGUAAUACCGCAUGCGCUCAGGAUACCGCAUGGUAGCCUGAGGAAAGAUUUAUCGGUGAGGGAUGGAUCCGCGUCUGAUUAGCCAGUUGGCGGGGUAACGGCCACCAAAGCGACGAUCAGUAGCCGGCCUGAGAGGGCGGACGGCCACAUUGGGACUGAGACACGGCCCAGACUCCUACGGGAGGCAGCAGUGGGGGAUAUUGCACAAUGGGCGCAAGCCUGAUGCAGCGACGCCGCGUGAGUGAAGAAGUAUUUCGGUAUGUAAAGCUCUAUCAGCAGGGAAGAAAGGCCCUUCAGGGGAGAUGACGGUACCUGACUAAGAAGCCCCGGCUAACUACGUGCCAGCCGCCGC
This 497-nucleotide ribosomal RNA is filed under the name uncultured bacterium. Its description in RNAcentral is "bacterial SSU rRNA". It matches the Rfam family "Bacterial small subunit ribosomal RNA", at positions 26 to 518 of the family's 1533-position model. The record is from RNAcentral.